UUGCCUUCUGGUAGCAAUGAACCGCAGUUCGAGUCAAGAGCGGUCACCUAGAACUGCGGGGAGCGAGUGGUGAGACCGACCAGAAAAGUG
This 90-nucleotide non-coding RNA is filed under the name unclassified sequences. RNAcentral describes it as "c-di-GMP sequence". It matches the Rfam family "c-di-GMP-II-GAG riboswitch aptamer". The record is from Rfam by way of RNAcentral.